Molecule: ribosomal RNA, 253 nt
Filed under: uncultured bacterium
Lineage: Bacteria
Description: partial 16S ribosomal RNA
Rfam family: Bacterial small subunit ribosomal RNA
Source: RNAcentral
UACGGGGGGAGCAAGCGUUGUUCGGAAUUACUGGGCGUAAAGGGCGCGCAGGCGGUUGGAUAAGAGAGUGGUGAAAACCCUGGGCUCAACCUAGGGCCUGCCAUUCAGACUGUCUGGCUGGAGUGUGGGAGAGGGAAGUGGAAUUCCUGGUGUAGCGGUGAAAUGCGUAGAUAUCAGGAGGAACACCGGUGGCGAAGGCGGCUUCCUGGACCACAACUGACGCUGAGGCGCGAAAGCCAGGGGAGCAAACAGG